Long non-coding RNA from Ailuropoda melanoleuca (giant panda), 1531 nucleotides. RefSeq lists it as uncharacterized. Lineage: Eukaryota; Metazoa; Chordata; Mammalia; Carnivora; Ursidae. The record is from RefSeq and is a predicted model, not a curated record. The transcript is spliced from 2 exons.
UCCCAGAACGCCAGGAUCACGGCCUGAGCCGAAGGCGACGCUUAACGACUGAGCCACCCAGGAGUUGAAGACCAAAGAGAGACUGCAAUGACCCUAAACUGCCCUCACUUUUAUUGGGGAGCUCAGCUGGGCUGCAAGGCCCCAGCUCUGCCCCCGCUGCAGCGGGCCUUGCAGACAUACCGUUGUAUGGCCCCAGGUGCCUUCCAGCGGACAGCAGCUGGUGUUCCAGCUCUUUCAAAACACAGCUUGGGACCCAAUCGCGGAGAGAAUCUCCAAGGGUAGAGAGGCUAUACAAGGAAUGUCACCCCUAGAUAAAAAGAAAUAUUUAGCCUCCAUGUGACACAGAGAGGAAUUUCUCUGGCAGCUACGAAUGUUUAACUAGUUCAUUCUUUUGCCCUGCCCUGUGGUUUCCCCUAGUCUAAUGCACCCUUAAAAGGGCAGAGAUGAGGUAACACGGUUUCUCUUCAUAAUCUUCAUCCCUGUGUUGUAAUCGGGAUCAUGAAAAAACCUGUCAAACAAGAAAUGUUACUGAGUGGCAGAAUGUAAAAACAUGUACUUCCCCAGGAGAAAGUAAAACUGUCUGGGAAAGGGAAGAAAGUGCCUGUUCUUUUAAUGUUAUCACUCAUCUCUAGGGGGGCUUCUUGUGUUUGGCACCCCGCAUUGGCCAUUAUCAAUAUUUGAAGUAACUCUGCAGAAAGUUCCCAUUUCCAAAAAGCUUCAUUAACACAAGUUGCCCUCUUCACGCCGCUAAGAGUCUCAGUGCUACAUGGAAAAUGGACCUGCAGAACGUGAACGUGGUGACAAGUAAAACUUUCCUUCUCAAUAAGAGACAAGAGAUUUAUAGGAAAAUUUUUGGAAAGAAUAAUCGAGUAGCGGGAAUGAAUUUUAGAUUUAAAAUAAAAAGAAAGGGAGAAAGGACGACCUCUUCGUAAGACAGAAGGUGGGUCAGAAAGCAAGAGAACCCUGGGCAUCCAGAAGUGCAGAGUGGAAGUAGGAGGUGUGUCAAAAGUGGACCAAAAAUUAGAAAGGGGAAGCUGAAAAUACAAAAAGGAGAUUUUCCUGUGAACUAAUCCAAUUAAUUUUCAUUGAUGUAUUAACAGAGAAAUUAUGAGUCAAGGACUUACUUGGUUAGCAAUGGUUAUAACUAGAGGUUGGUAGGCUUUCUUUUUUUUCCUCCGUGUAGGACUUGUGAGUACAGUUUGGUAAAAUUGUGUAUUCUCUAAAAAAUUUGUUUGGGCUUAAAUUCAAUGUGGUAAGUGGGAUGAAAAUUUUGGAAAUUCCUCUUAACAUCUAAAGGUCUUUGUAGAUUUGUGAUAAUCCAAUGCCUUUAUAUUCAUUUCCAUAUUAAUUUCUUUUCCUGUUACUUUUUUGGUAAAAAAAAAAAAAAAAAAAAAAAAAAAGUUCCUGCCUGGUCUCACAGUUUAAUAGAAUAUGAUUGCCAACCCUCUUCUCAUCCUACCAUUGUGUUGUUCUCUAACAAAAAAUAAAACGGAGGGGGAAGGAUACUAUUAAAGCCAUUUAGUUUAUUAUU